RNAcentral lists this ribosomal RNA (505 nucleotides) under Syllides tam. RNAcentral describes it as "partial 16S ribosomal RNA". It matches the Rfam family "Bacterial large subunit ribosomal RNA", at positions 1797 to 2622 of the family's 2925-position model. Lineage: Eukaryota; Metazoa; Annelida; Polychaeta; Phyllodocida; Syllidae. The record is from RNAcentral.
CGCCUGUUUAUCAAAAACAUAGCCUAUCGAAAUCUAAUGUUAGGUAAAACCUGCCCAGUGUUUUAUAAACGGCCGCGGUAUCCUGACCGUGCAAAGGUAGCAUAAUAACUUGUCUUAUAAUUUAAGACUAGAAUGAAUGGUUAAAUGAGGAGCAGCCUGUCUCUACCUCAAUGUGAAAAUAUAACAAAAAGUGAAAAUGCUUUUAUUUAAUAAAAAGACAAGAAGACCCUAUAGAGCUUCAUUUACACUCUAUAACCAAAUUUUGCUGGGGCGGCAAGAAAAUAUUAAAAACUUUUCUCUUCAAAAGAUCCACAAUCUUAAGAUCCUCAUGGAUAAAAAAACAUAGCUACCUUAGGGAUAACAGACUAAUUUUAUUUUAGAGUUCUAAUCGAAAAUAAAGUUUGGCACCUCGAUGUUGGCUUAGGAUGUCUUUUUAUUGAAGAAGAUAAAAAAGAUGGUUUGUUCAACCAUAAAAUUCCUACAUGAUCUGAGUUCAAACCGGAGA